UUGACAUAUUUGAAAGUAAUUCCAGGUUAGGGGAGGGGGUGGGGUUUCAAUGCUCCUAGAGAAGUUAUCUACAAUUUCCUAUUUUCAGGCACUUCAAUAUAACUUAGAGAAAACCUGUAUAACAAGAAUAGUAAUAUGCAUGCUACCUCAAUUUAGUACACGAAAUUUAAAAAUACAAUUGAACAUAGAAAACCGGACAAUAUCGAAACUACAAGAAGAAUACUUGAAAAGAAAUUAUG
Molecule: unclassified non-coding RNA, 239 nt
Filed under: Hevea brasiliensis (rubber tree)
Lineage: Eukaryota; Viridiplantae; Streptophyta; Magnoliopsida; Malpighiales; Euphorbiaceae
Source: RNAcentral